RNAcentral lists this unclassified non-coding RNA (240 nucleotides) under soil metagenome. RNAcentral's name for it is "partial contains 5.8S ribosomal RNA, internal transcribed spacer 2, and large subunit ribosomal RNA". The record is from RNAcentral.
AACGCACGAGACCUGCGGACCUGCGGAAGGAUCAUUACCGAGUUUACAACUCCCAAACCCAAUGUGAACGUUACCAAACUGUUGCCCCGGCGGGAUCUCUGCCCCGGGUGCGUCGCAGCCCCGGACCAAGGCGCCCGCCGGAGGACCAACCAAAACUCUUUUGUAUACCCCCUCGCGGGUUUUUAUAUCUGAGCCAUCUCGGCGCCUCUCGUAGGCGUUUCGAAAAUGAAUCAAAACUUU